UGAAAAUGAAGAGAUGGUGACACGUGUC
RNAcentral lists this non-coding RNA (28 nucleotides) under Homo sapiens (human). The record is from RNAcentral. Lineage: Eukaryota; Metazoa; Chordata; Mammalia; Primates; Hominidae.